RNAcentral lists this ribosomal RNA (520 nucleotides) under uncultured Alphaproteobacteria bacterium. RNAcentral's name for it is "bacterial SSU rRNA". It matches the Rfam family "Bacterial small subunit ribosomal RNA", at positions 505 to 1024 of the family's 1533-position model. The record is from RNAcentral. Lineage: Bacteria; Pseudomonadati; Pseudomonadota; Alphaproteobacteria.
GUGCCAGCAGCCGCGGUAAUACGAAGGGACCUAGCGUAGUUCGGAAUUACUGGGCUUAAAGAGCACGUAGGUGGUUAGAAAAGUUGGUGGUGAAAUCCCAGGGCUUAACCCUGGAACUGCUACCAAAACUUUUUGACUAGAGUGUGAUAGAGGUAAGCGGAAUUUCUAGUGUAGAGGUGAAAUUCGUAGAUAUUAGAAAGAACACCAAUUGCGAAGGCAGCUUUCUGGAUCAUUACUGACACUGAGGCGCGAAAGCAUGGGUAGCGAAGAGGAUUAGAUACCCUCGUAGUCCAUGCCGUAAACGAUGUGUGCUAGACGUUGGGAAUUUAUUUUUCAGUGUCGCAGCAAAAGCGUUAAGCACACCGCCUGGGGAGUACGACCGCAAGGUUAAAACUCAAAUGAAUUGACGGGGACCCGCACAAGUAGUGGAGCAUGUGGUUUAAUUCGAAGAUACGCGCAGAACCUUACCAACACUUGACAUGUUCGUCGCGACUCUAAGAGAUUAGAGUUUUCGGUUCCG